Molecule: ribosomal RNA, 392 nt
Filed under: uncultured bacterium
Lineage: Bacteria
Description: partial 16S ribosomal RNA
Rfam family: Bacterial small subunit ribosomal RNA
Source: RNAcentral
AUACGGAGGAUCCGAGCGUUAUCCGGAUUUAUUGGGUUUAAAGGGUGCGCAGGCGGCCAUUUAAGUCAGCGGUUAAAUCGUGGGGCUCAACCCCAUUCUGCCGUUGAUACUGGGUGGCUUGAUUGCGGUCGAGGUUGGCGGAAUUCGUUGUGUAGCGGUGAAAUGCAUAGAUAUGACGAAGAACACCGAUUGCGUAGGCAGCUGACGAGACCGCAAAUGACGCUCAUGCACGAAAGUGCGGGGAUCGAACAGGAUUAGAUACCCUGGUAGUCCACACAGUAAACGAUGAAUACUCGCUUUUUGCGAUAUACAGUAAGCGGCCAAGCGAAAGCGUUAAGUAUUCCACCUGGGGAGUACGCCGGCAACGGUGAAACUCAAAGGAAUUGACGGGG